CAGUCAGGACUCAGCAUGAACAUGAGGGUCCCCACUCAGCUCCUCAGCCUCCUGCUGCUCUGGCUCCCAGGUGCCAGGUGUGACAUCCAGAUGACCCAGUCUUCAUCCAUCCUGCCAGCAUCCCCAGGAGACACAGUCAGAAUCCACUGCCGGGCCAGCCAGAGUGUUAUCAACAACUUACACUGGUACCAGCAGAAGCCACAUCAGGCUCCAAAGCUCAUAGUGAAGUAUGCUUCUCAGACCAUUUCAGGAGUCCCAUCCCGCUUCAGUGGCAGUGGAUCAGGGACAGAUUUCAUUCUCACCAUCAGUAAUCUGGAGCCUGAAGAUACUGCCACUUAUUAUUGUCAGCAGAGUAACAGCUACCCUCACACAGUGCUAUAA
Erinaceus europaeus (western European hedgehog) is the source of this 381-nucleotide non-coding RNA. Lineage: Eukaryota; Metazoa; Chordata; Mammalia; Eulipotyphla; Erinaceidae. The record is from the annotation of a RefSeq genome assembly.